UGUACGGCUAUGAAGAGAAGAGUAAUUUUGAUUAAUUAUUUUCAGAGAGCUCCGGUAGGUGGGAAGGAGUAAUAAUGAUCUUAAUGAAAAAAAGUCUUGGAGCUUCGCACGAAUCUAAGAGCAUUCUUAGUGAUACUGCGACGGGAUCUCCCGUUAAAGAGAUAGGGUAUAAUCAAUUAUUAGAAAAUUGACGUACUCGAAGAGGUUGAUAUGGCGACAUAUCAAUAAACUGAGGUGGUACCGCGGAGCUAUAAACUCCCGUCCUCAAG
This 269-nucleotide non-coding RNA is filed under the name Sporosarcina psychrophila. Its description in RNAcentral is "T-box sequence". It matches the Rfam family "T-box leader". Rfam says of the family: Uncharged tRNA acts as the effector for transcription antitermination of genes in the T-box leader family. T-boxes are found upstream of many aminoacyl-tRNA synthetase genes and some amino acid biosynthetic genes usually in Gram-positive bacteria. The anticodon of a specific tRNA base pairs to a specifier sequence within the T-box motif, and the NCCA acceptor tail of the tRNA base pairs to a conserved bulge in the T-box antiterminator hairpin. Lineage: Bacteria; Bacillati; Bacillota; Bacilli; Caryophanales; Caryophanaceae. The record is from RNAcentral.